AGGAAAGGGCCCUGACAAGAGGAUGGGACUGCAGUUGUGGCUGCCAGAGUCUUGCUUUGUCGCCCAGGUUGGAGUGCAGUGGCACGAUCUCGGCUCACUGCAACCUCCGCCUCCUGAGUUCAAGUGAUUCUCCUGCCUCAGCCUCCCUAGUAGCUGGGAUUACAGGACAAGCAGAGGGACAAAUUCCUUCUUGGCAUCCUUAUGGCCCCAUGACCUGCUAAUGAAUGCUGACUCUGAGUGGCUACUAGAAUUUGGUUUCCUUAUGGCUUCCCAGGAAUUGUGAGCCAUGUUGGAUAAGGUCCUGCAAGGGAAGAAUGAGGAAGCCUGGGACAGUGCGGGAGGGGAGAGCACUGGUGGUAGGGAGGAGUGAUGACAAGGGUCUCCGCUAAAAGGGAAAUGGAGGGGUUAAAGAAGCAGCUGGGGAAGGUUAAAAACAAUGAGGUGUUCUCACUCAUAGGUGGGAAUUGAACAAUGAGAACGCUUGGACACAGGAAGGGGAACAUCACACACUGGGGCCUGUCGUGGGGUUGGGGGAGGGGGAGGGAUAGCAUUAGGAGAUACACCUAAUGUAAAUGAUGAGUUAAUGGGUGCAGCACACCAACAUGGCACAUGUAUACAUAUGUAACAAACCUGCACGUUGUGCACAUGUACCCUAGAACUUAAAGUAUAAUUAAAAAACAAAACAAAACAAAACAAACAAACAAAAAAAACAA
RNAcentral lists this small RNA (713 nucleotides) under Pongo abelii (Sumatran orangutan). Its description in RNAcentral is "retained intron". Lineage: Eukaryota; Metazoa; Chordata; Mammalia; Primates; Hominidae. The record is from RNAcentral.